RNAcentral lists this transfer RNA (68 nucleotides) under Marmota monax (woodchuck). RNAcentral's name for it is "tRNA.Ala". Lineage: Eukaryota; Metazoa; Chordata; Mammalia; Rodentia; Sciuridae. The record is from RNAcentral.
GUUGUGGCUCAGUGGUAGAGUGCUUGCCGGGCAUGUGUGAGGCCCUGAGUUCAAUCCUCAGUACUACA